AUACAUGGCAACGUCGAAACGCUUUUUCUUUCACCGGAGCUUGCUCCACCGAAAGAAAAGGAGUGGCGAACGGGUGAGUAACACGUGGGUAACCUGCCCAUCAGAAGGGGAUAACACUUGGAAACAGGUGCUAAUACCGUAUAACAAUAGAAACCGCAUGGUUUCUAUUUGAAAGGCGCUUUUGCGUCACUGAUGGAUGGACCCGCGGUGCAUUAGCUAGUUGGUGAGGUAACGGCUCACCAAGGCAACGAUGCAUAGCCGACCUGAGAGGGUGAUCGGCCACAUUGGGACUGAGACACGGCCCAAACUCCUACGGGAGGCAGCAGUAGGGAAUCUUCGGCAAUGGACGAAAGUCUGACCGAGCAACGCCGCGUGAGUGAAGAAGGUUUUCGGAUCGUAAAACUCUGUUGUUAGAGAAGAACAAGGAUGAGAGUAAAAUGUUCAUCCCUUGACGGUAUCUAACCAGAAAGCCACGGCUA
This 479-nucleotide ribosomal RNA is filed under the name Enterococcus gilvus. RNAcentral's name for it is "bacterial SSU rRNA". It matches the Rfam family "Bacterial small subunit ribosomal RNA", at positions 51 to 499 of the family's 1533-position model. Lineage: Bacteria; Bacillati; Bacillota; Bacilli; Lactobacillales; Enterococcaceae. The record is from RNAcentral.